Molecule: ribosomal RNA, 522 nt
Filed under: uncultured bacterium
Lineage: Bacteria
Description: bacterial SSU rRNA
Rfam family: Bacterial small subunit ribosomal RNA
Source: RNAcentral
ACGAACGCUAGCGGCGUGCCUAAUACAUGCAAGUCGAACGGUCUUUCUAUGGAAGCUUGCUUCCACUGAGAAGAUAGUGGGCGAACGGGUGAGUAACACGUGGGGUAACCCUAGCCCAUAAGAGGGGGGAUAACAUCCGGAAACGGGUGCUAAUACCGCAUAGUUUUCUUGAUCGCAUGAUUGAGAAAGGAAAGACGGCCUUUGUGCUGUCGCUUAUGGAUGGACCCGCGGCGUAUUAGUUAGUUGGUGAGGUAACGGCUCACCAAGACGAUGAUACGUAGCCGACCUGAGAGGGUGAUCGGCCACAUUGGGACUGAGACACGGCCCAAACUCCUACGGGAGGCAGCAGUAGGGAAUCUUCCGCAAUGGACGAAAGUCUGACGGAGCAACGCCGCGUGAGUGAAGAAAAGGUUUUCGGAUCGUAAAACUCUGUUGUCAGAGAAGAACAAGUUGGAGAGUAACUGCUCCAGCCUUGACGGUAUCUGACCAGAAAGCCACGGCUAACUACGUGCCAGCAGCGGC